This 329-nucleotide unclassified non-coding RNA is filed under the name soil metagenome. Its description in RNAcentral is "partial contains 5.8S ribosomal RNA, internal transcribed spacer 2, and large subunit ribosomal RNA". The stretch from base 1 to 120 matches the Rfam family "5.8S ribosomal RNA", at positions 35 to 154 of the family's 154-position model. The record is from RNAcentral.
GAUGAAGAACGUAGCGAAAUGCGAUAAGUAAUGUGAAUUGCAGAAUUCAGUGAAUCAUCGAAUCUUUGAACGCACAUUGCGCCCCUUGGUAUUCCGGGGGGCAUGCCUGUUCGAGCGUCAUUUCAACCCUCAAGCUCUGCUUGGUCUUGGGCCGCGCCGGCGACGGCGGGCCUCAAAAACAGUGGCGGCGCCAUCUGGUUCCUCAGCGUAGUAAUUCUUCUCGCUGUUGGGCCCGGGUGGCCGCUGGCCAGCAACCCCAAAUUUUCUAUGGUUGACCUCGGAUCAGGUAGGGAUACCCGCUGAACUUAAGCAUAUCAAUAAGCGGAGGA